UGGGGAAUAUUGGACAAUGGGCGCAAGCCUGAUCCAGCCAUACCGCGUGGGUGAAGAAGGCCUUCGGGUUGUAAAGCCCUUUUGUUGGGAAAGAAAAGCAUUCGGUUAAUACCCGAUUGUUCUGACGGUACCCAAAGAAUAAGCACCGGCUAACUUCGUGCCAGCAGCCGCGGUAAUACGAAGGGUGCAAGCGUUACUCGGAAUUACUGGGCGUAAAGCGUGCGUAGGUGGUUGUUUAAGUCUGUCGUGAAAGCCCUGGGCUCAACCUGGGAAUUGCGAUGGAAACUGGGCGACUAGAGUGUGGCAGAGGGUAGUGGAAUUCCUGGUGUAGCAGUGAAAUGCGUAGAGAUCAGGAGGAACAUCCGUGGCGAAGGCGACUGCCUGGGCCAACACUGACACUGAGGCACGAAAGCGUGGGGAGCAAACAGGAUUAGAUACCCUGGUAGUCCACGCCCUAAACGAUGCGAACUGGAUGUUGGGUGCAAUUUUGGCACGCAGUAUCGAAGCUAACGCGUUAAGUUCGCCGCCUGGGGAGUACGGUCGCAAGACUGAAACUCAAAUGAAUUGAC
Molecule: ribosomal RNA, 569 nt
Filed under: uncultured bacterium
Lineage: Bacteria
Description: partial 16S ribosomal RNA
Rfam family: Bacterial small subunit ribosomal RNA
Source: RNAcentral